Molecule: ribosomal RNA, 512 nt
Filed under: uncultured bacterium
Lineage: Bacteria
Description: partial 16S ribosomal RNA
Rfam family: Bacterial small subunit ribosomal RNA
Source: RNAcentral
GAUGAACGCUGGCGGCGUGCCUAGUACAUGCAAGUCGAACGAAACUUCUUUAUCACCGAGUGCUUGCACUCACCGAUAAAGAGUUGAGUGGCGAACGGGUGAGUAACACGUGGGCAACCUGCCCAAAAGAGGGGGAUAACACUUGGAAACAGGUGCUAAUACCGCAUAACCAUAGUUACCGCAUGGUAACUAUGUAAAAGGUGGCUAUACUACCGCUUUUGGAUGGGCCCGCGGCGCAUUAGCUAGUUGGUAGGGUAAAGGCUUACCAAGGCAAUGAUGCGUAGCCGAAUUGAGAGGUUGAUCGGCCACAUUGGGACUGAGACACGGCCCAAACUCCUACGGGAGGCAGCAGUAGGGAAUCUUCCACAAUGGGCGAAAGCCUGAUGGAGCAACGCCGCGUGGGUGAAGAAGGUCUUCGGAUCGUAAAACCCUGUUGUUAGAGAAGAAAGUGCGUGAGAGUAACUGUUCACGUUUCGACGGUAUCUAACCAGAAAGCCACGGCUAACUACGUG